GGCGCGCCCCGCGGGUGGGCUGCUGAGGCGGCGGCGGCCCCAGUGCGCGGGGCGCCGCCCAUGUGUGCCUGUUGUCCCGGAGGUGGGGGCGGCUUGGUGGCCGCGGUGGACCGAGAGGGCCAGCGCGAAAGCUCACUACCCAUAUAAUGGAUUUUAUAGUUCAGAUUGUUUUAUUCUGGAUUUCAUGGUAACAAAACAGGAAGUAUACUUAAUUUCUCAUUUCUACAAGUAGUCAUGACUACUGAGAAAACAAUUUUUUUAAGCUACAGCAGAAUUCAUCUUGGUACCUUUUAUGGAAAUCCUGAUUUUGUUUUUAAUUUUGAUAACCUUUUGCUAAAGGUAUGAAGAAGCAACUUAUCUUGUUAGGCAAAUACACAUUUAUAAGAAUGUCUAGAAGAGGAUCAAUCCUUCACACCCGGACCCACUGGCUACUGUUAGGACUGGCUUUGCUCUGUAGUUUGGUAUUAUUUAUGUACCUUCUGGAGUGUGCCCCUCAGACUGAUGGAAAUGCAUCUCUUCCUGGUGUUGUCGGAGAAAAUUAUGGUAAAGAGUACUAUCAAGCCCUCCUACAGGAGCAAGAAGAACAUUAUCAAACCAGGGCAACCAGUCUGAAACGCCAAAUCGCCCAACUAAAACAAGAAUUACAAGAAAUGAGUGAGAAGAUGAAAUCAUUACAAGAGAGAAAGAAUAUAGGGGCUAAUGGCAUAGGCUAUCAAGGCAGCAAAGAACAAGCACCUAGCGAUCUUUUAGAAUUUCUUCAUUCCCAGAUUGACAAAGCCGAAGUUAGCACAGGAGCCAAACUACCCAGUGAGUAUGGGGUGAUUCCUUUUGAAAGUUUUACUUUAAUGAAAGUAUUUCAGUUGGAAAUGGGUCUCACUCGACAUCCUGAAGAAAAGCCGGUUAGAAAAGACAAACGAGAUGAAUUGACAGACGUUAUUGAAGCUGGCUUGGAGGUCAUUAAUAAUCCUGAUGAAGAUGAUGAACAGGAAGAUGAGGAGGGUCCCCUGGGAGAGAAACUUAUAUUUAAUGAAAAUGACUUCAUAGAAGGUUAUUAUCGCACUGAGAGAGAUAAGGGAACACAGUAUGAACUCUUUUUUAAGAAAGCAGACCUUAUGGAAUAUAGACAUGUGACCCUCUUCCGCCCUUUUGGACCUCUCAUGAAAGUGAAGAGUGAGAUGAUUGACAUUACUAGAUCAAUUAUUAAUAUCAUUGUGCCACUUGCUGAAAGAACUGAAGCAUUUGCACAGUUUAUGCAGAACUUCAGGGAUGUUUGUAUUCAUCAGGACAAGAGGAUUCAUCUCACAGUGGUGUAUUUUGGUAAAGAAGGUCUCUCUAAAGUCAAGUCUAUCCUAGAAUCUGUUGCAAGUGAGUCUAAUUUUCACAAUUACACCUUGGUUUCAUUGAAUGAAGAAUUUAAUCGUGGACGAGGACUCAAUGUGGGUGCCAGAGCUUGGGACAAGGGAGAGGUCUUGAUGUUUUUCUGUGAUGUUGACAUAUUUUUCUCAGCCGAAUUCCUUAACAGCUGCCGAUUAAAUGCUGAGCCAGGUAAAAAAGUGUUUUACCCUGUGGUGUUCAGUCUUUACAAUCCUGCCAUCGUUUAUGCCAACCAGGAUGCACCACCACCUGUGGAGCAGCAACUGGUUCACAAAAAGGAUUCUGGUUUUUGGAGAGAUUUUGGCUUUGGAAUGACUUGUCAAUAUCGAUCAGAUUUUCUGACCAUUGCCUGGGCUACUGGCACCACGUAUGGCAUACCACCUGGCACACACAAGAGUGGGGAGCAACAUGUUCUUUUAUUGAUGCAAGUACGUCCAGUCACACCAAAACUGACAUCCUGUGCUAUGGUACAGCUUUAUACUCAGAGAUCAGCUCCAAAUACCAAAACAUCAAAUUGAAGGAAAUAGAUGUCCUUAACGAAGAGGUUGAAUACUGGGAUGACAAUCUUCUCACGGCUGCUAUUGGCCAUCUGGGACCGCUGUGUGGCCCCCUGCAGGGCAGUGCGGUAGUUACAGAAGUUGCUGGAUGGAUCCAUGUGGUGCUGUGGGCAUAGCAAGGACCAGGCAAUGCUAGUUCUACUGGAUGCAGCAAUGGCCAAGGACAGCUUGAGAACCCACCAGCAGGCCAGCUCCAUACAUGUCUGAAUCAAAGGAAAGAUCCCACCCCUGCUGCCACACAGGACAAAGGUGGGGCACUGGGCUGUGCCAGUAACUUGGGUACCUACCUCCAAGACGUCAAACUUGGCUGUCUUGACUUUGGACCAUGUUUUCUUCAGCCGAGCCACUGGACUAAGGUUCAUGCCAGCUGCAGGGACAGUGGGCAGGGGUCAGAGCAUGAGAAGGCAGAGGGUGUGGGCAGCCCCCAACCUGUGCCAGCACUCACAAAUGAUGGCCAUCAUGGAGUUGAAGUUUCCAAUGUUGAAGCACUCUCGGGCCACAUCAAUGAAAAACUCCARCAUGCGGGUCCGAUGCUUCUUCUUAACCACCUGGAAGGCAACAGGAUGACCUCAGCGUGGAGCCACCAACAGGCCACAGGAGCUGGGGCCACUGGGCAGAGGGUCGAGAAGUUCCUUGGGACUUAACUUCCAGGUCUGGGAGAUUCAAGGCUCUAUCUGUGAGACUCAGACACAUGUCCAACACCUGAUGGAUCUCCUCAGCCAUAAAAGGGAUGGGCUGUUUGCUUGCCAAGGCUGGCAGAAUGGUGCUGGGCACAAGGGGCACACUCCCACAUAGGGGAUCCCUAUUGUCAUUUAAGUAAUCAAUGGAUAUGGAGGCUUCAGGGUGGGAGCACUACCAAGGCCCUGGCAAUGGACACUUCAUGUGCUUAUUUUGAAAGUUCCAUCAUCUAAAGGGGAAAUACAGGGGAAUGAUAU
RNA transcript from Urocitellus parryii (Arctic ground squirrel), 2866 nucleotides. It is a transcript of the gene named chondroitin sulfate N-acetylgalactosaminyltransferase 2, with no coding region annotated. Lineage: Eukaryota; Metazoa; Chordata; Mammalia; Rodentia; Sciuridae. The record is from RefSeq and is a predicted model, not a curated record.